This is a long non-coding RNA of Diceros bicornis minor, 689 nucleotides long. RefSeq lists it as uncharacterized. NCBI's taxonomy places the organism in Eukaryota, Metazoa, Chordata, Mammalia, Perissodactyla, Rhinocerotidae. The record is from RefSeq and is a predicted model, not a curated record. The transcript has 3 exons.
AAUAUCCAUCUUUCCUUUCUUCCUUCAUAAUAGAACACGGCUCUUGGUUUGGUUACCCGUCUCUCUAUCACGGGACUUAGAGGAAGCUGACCUCAUCCCCAACUCAUAGAGCCGUGCACGCCCUGUAUGGUCCCUGGUCAGUCGCAUUCUCCAUUCCAGCCAUGCUGCUGCACCCCUCAUCCCAAUGAGAGGCUUCCCCAGGUCCUGGAGCCUCCUUCAGCUAGUCCUCUGGCCCUCUCAGCAGAAUACACAGAAAACUGUCCCACAAUAUCCAAAGUCAUGUAAGUGCACAGUGAUUGAAGAUAACCAUGGAUCCACACUUCUGCCAUGAAGAAAAUCAUAAAGUCAGAACCGCACUCCACCCCAACUGUGUGAGAAUAGCCCAGGUAGGUCUGCAGAAGUUUCACCAUUCCACAUGGCAAACUUUCUCCAAGGCAGCUGCCUACAUCAGUUCUGGGGCUCAGAACAAUUCAGGCAGUGGGCAGAAGCCGGGAGGUUAAUGCUUUGAUGUUACUUGGUACAGGUCCCAGUUCCUUGGAAUUCCUGAUUCAUUGAAAUCAGAAGAUUUAAAGUAUAGUCUAUCCUGGAGAAAGAAGACAGCCCCAGUGCUCUGUAGACCUGAAAACAGUAGCACAGAAGACAGAGAGUGCUGCGCUCUCAUCAGGCAAGCAUGAGGGGUGGGAGAGCAA